Long non-coding RNA from Aquila chrysaetos chrysaetos, 2774 nucleotides. RefSeq lists it as uncharacterized. Lineage: Eukaryota; Metazoa; Chordata; Aves; Accipitriformes; Accipitridae. The record is from RefSeq and is a predicted model, not a curated record. The transcript has 3 exons.
AUCAGCGGUAUUUUUGCCACAGAGUUUUUCUCCUGGAUCAGUGGACUCCCUCCACUCUUUCAGCUAAGGUAUGGUGCAGAUUUGGCUUCAUAUGUGGUACCCAGAAACCUUUCGUACCAAGAACUGCCAACAACUGGACCAAGAGGACUUUCACCUGACUUUCAACUAGAUCUGGACCAGGACCUUUCCCCUUUUUGGAGCUGAAUAAGGAGCAGGUUCCCCAUCACAACUCCUCCUCCAGGCUCUCCCCACCAGCACAGCCUCGCAGGGGGUGGAUACACCAGAGCCAGAAGGCAGCUGAAAAGUGGGGAGAGCUUCACCACUGCCAACCUCAUCUCAUGUGCAUGGUAUUUGCAAGCAAGCAGGCCCCUGUCACCUCCUAGGCUAUUCCUCCUGCUGUUGAUCCAGGUAACAUCUCUACAACCACUGUAGGAUUUCCUUGGAGAGAUAGAAAGUCUUUGGGACCUGUCGCUUUCUUGCCAAGGAGCUGAGCAAUCCUGGCUCAGCUGUGAACCUGCACCGCUCCGUGUGGUGCUGUCAACACUUCUAACUAGGUGAUAAACCAGGGCUGUAGCAGAGUAGGCAGGUUUGCAAGACAGUCUCACCAGCCACGCAGCACCACGGGACGAGCAGCCAGCACAGCCCCGCAAAUCGAAGCAGCACAAGCACACUUCUCUGUAUGUUAGCAGCUGUGCAAGGGAGCAAGCCAUCCUCUGAUGAGGGUGAUGGCUGAUGCAAGGGAGAAGAAGCUGUCUGCUCCUGUGAGAUCUUCCUGUCUUGCAAACUGCAGCCAAUUCCUUGCUGGAUUUUGUUCUGGUUUAUGGGCUAUUUGAGCCAGGUAGGUGUUAGGCAGGAGUUAACAGGGAGAGCUGGGAGUCAGGGAUCUAUGUCCAGCUCUUCUCUCCAAGCUCUGCUUUGCCCAAGUAGUGGCAGGUGCUUAACUGCCAAAUCGGAGAGGCAAAAGAAAGGCUUUCAUUUAAUUCCAGAGGGAUGCAAGAGCGUAGCACCAGUACCUUUGUUCUGCAGUGUCCAGCAGCCCCUGCCGUGGCCCAGCUUUGCGAAUGGCUGAGCAGUCAGAAAAGGGGGUUUAGGCAAAUAGAAAUAAUCCAGCUCUUUUAUUUUUAAUUUGUAAAUCUCAUUUGAAGUUGAACCCUGUUAUUCCUGAGGGCCUUAUUGUGGAUGUUUGUAGCCCUCUGCAGUGAUGCUUUAUACAUGCUGUUUCGUUUUGUCAUAACUGGGUCAAUUUCUUUUCGUUUCUAGUGUGGAGCCCUUGGUUUUCUCUGUGGAAGCCUGGAGACUGCUGUGACACAGCCAGCUGGAUUAUAAUCUUUUGGGAAAGAGUACAGAGGAAAUUUGGGGUUUUCUUGCUUGUUUUCCGCUUUCCAGCGGGGCUGCUCCCUGGUGCCUGGCUGGGCUGGCUCCUUGCUUCAAUGUCCCUAUGGGACCAUGAACAGCCAACCUGGUGUUCCAGCUCCCAGCAAAGCCGUGUCGUGGUGGUACUUUGGGUGUCCAGGGAAGAAUCCCUCACAAAGCUGCCCUGGCCAUACUCUCAGACAGCUGAAUAGCCCUAUCCCCUGUCUUUUGCCCCAUUUUGAAGCCCCUGUUCCUCUUGGUGGUGGCUAGGUGUCCUGUACCGCAAUUCAUUUUUGUCUGCUUCUUGCUGUCCCUGCUUUAAAACCUUCUAGGGAUUUGCUCCAGACCAAACGUGUCCUUUCUCUCCCUUUGCCCUUCAUCCUGUAAUUGGAUUCAUUUCUUCCAUCCAGCCCACCCCAGGCUUCUCCCCAUCCCUUUACAUAACGAUGCUGGCUCUGGGCUGUGCUGCUUUGUUCUUGACCUGCAGCCACUGAAACCAGUGGAGGGGUUUGCACUGAUUCCUAUUGCACGUUGAAUCCCAUGUCAAUACAACAACCCUUUUCUUUUGCAGUUCCUGCUCCCUCCCCAUUUGCUGCCUCUUUUUCCUCUCCACAUACAAUGUGUGCUUCCUCCAGCCUCUGCAUUGCUCGUGCAGCAGUUGCAUCUCUGCACGAACCCUCUGAGCACGUGGUCCUGCCCAGGAGCUCCUACACCCCGCAUGGCACAAGAGAAAAGGUAAAUGCAACAGCCCCACGCAGAAUGAAUUGGUACCUUGAAAGCCUGAAAGGAGAUAAAGCAGCAGCAAACUCUUCUCCCCUGUUGCAGAUAAACUGCUAUUAACUGCUGAGGGUUUCUGGAAUGAGAAGGGCGACUCUCCAUUGAAAGCACUGAUAAAUCUUGGACAUCCAGCAUAAUCCAGUCCACUGUAUCAGGAAAUCUCUUGGGAGCUGGCAGCAUUGAGCACAGCAAUGCCUUUUCAUGCUACAGUUCUCCCAUGGACAGAUAAUCUCCAUGGACAACAACUGCAAAUGCUGGUGGUUGGAUCCUGACUGCUCUUACCUCCCCUUUCCUUCUCAGCAAAACAGCCGCUGCCUUCUGCAGCGAGACGGGGCUUACCUGCAAACUUCAUCUGCAGCGGUGACCACAGGACUGAAUUCUGCAACCCAUGUGUGAGCAAGAAUAUCAUACAUCAUCCUCCUGCUGAUUUGACAGUGCAAGCGGCCCUGCAAAGCAGCGAUUUAACGCACUUCUUGGUGCCUUAGUGUUUCGUCUUGCUAUGCUUAACCUGAUAGAUUGUUGUUUGAUAUGGGAACAGUAGGGGGGGUAAAAGGAGGUAAUAAGAAAAUAAAAGGUCAGUGGGUGCCUGGUGUGUGUAAAGGCUAAAUUGCUCUUUCAUCAAAUCUAAUAAAUAUUCCCUGUGA